UACGGAGGGUGCAAGCGUUAUCCGGAUUCACUGGGUUUAAAGGGCGCGCAGGCGGAUUUGUAAGUCAGUGGUGAAAGGCUUAAGCUUAACUUGGGAACUGCCAUUGAUACUAUAAGUCUUGAAUGUUGUUGAGGUUUGCGGAAUGGGUCAUGUAGCGGUGAAAUGCAUAGAUAUGACCCGGAACACCUAUUGCGAAGGCAGGUCUCUGGGCCACAACUGACGCUGAGAAGCGAAAGCAUGGGGAGCGAACAGG
This 253-nucleotide ribosomal RNA is filed under the name uncultured bacterium. Its description in RNAcentral is "partial 16S ribosomal RNA". It matches the Rfam family "Bacterial small subunit ribosomal RNA", at positions 524 to 776 of the family's 1533-position model. The record is from RNAcentral.